GAUGAACGCUGGCGGCGUGCCUAAUACAUGCAAGUCGAGCGAACAGACGAGGAGCUUGCUCCUCUGACGUUAGCGGCGGACGGGUGAGUAACACGUGGAUAACCUACCUAUAAGACUGGGAUAACUUCGGGAAACCGGAGCUAAUACCGGAUAAUAUAUUGAACCGCAUGGUUCAAUAGUGAAAGACGGUUUUGCUGUCACUUAUAGAUGGAUCCGCGCCGCAUUAGCUAGUUGGUAAGGUAACGGCUUACCAAGGCAACGAUGCGUAGCCGACCUGAGAGGGUGAUCGGCCAACCCGGAACUGGGAAACGGUCCAGACCCCUACGGGGGGCAGCAGUAGGGAAGCUUCCGCAAUGGGCGAAAGCUUGACGGAGCAACGCCGCGUGAGUGAUGAAGGUCUUCGGAUCGUAAAACUCUGUUAUUAGGGAAGAACAAAUGUGUAAGUAACUAUGCACGUCUUGACGGUACCUAAUCAGAAAGCCACGGCUAACUACGUG
RNAcentral lists this ribosomal RNA (497 nucleotides) under uncultured bacterium. RNAcentral's name for it is "partial 16S ribosomal RNA". It matches the Rfam family "Bacterial small subunit ribosomal RNA", at positions 28 to 507 of the family's 1533-position model. The record is from RNAcentral.